Molecule: small RNA, 90 nt
Filed under: Sinorhizobium meliloti 2011
Lineage: Bacteria; Pseudomonadati; Pseudomonadota; Alphaproteobacteria; Hyphomicrobiales; Rhizobiaceae
Description: putative ncRNA
Source: RNAcentral
AUUGACGAAGAUGAUGUAGGACAUCGUAAGGAACGUCGUGACGCCGGCGAUCACUUCCGUGCGGACGGUCGUGCCGUGCUCCUUAAGCUU